GGAAUCUUCCGCAAUGGACGAAAGUCUGACGGAGCAACGCCGCGUGAGUGAAGAAGGUUUUCGGAUCGUAAAACUCUGUUGUCAGAGAAGAACAAGUUGGAGAGUAACUGCUCCAGCCUUGACGGUAUCUGACCAGAAAGCCACGGCUAACUACGUGCCAGCAGCCGCGGUAAUACGUAGGUGGCAAGCGUUGUCCGGAUUUAUUGGGCGUAAAGCGAGCGCAGGCGGUUCCUUAAGUCUGAUGUGAAAGCCCACGGCUCAACCGUGGAAGGUCAUUGGAAACUGGGGAACUUGAGUGCAGAAGAGGAGAGUGGAAUUCCAUGUGUAGCGGUGAAAUGCGUAGAUAUAUGGAGGAACACCAGUGGCGAAGGCGACUCUCUGGUCUGUAACUGACGCUGAGGCUCGAAAGCGUGGGGAGCAAACAGGAUUAGAUACCCGGG
RNAcentral lists this ribosomal RNA (440 nucleotides) under uncultured Trichococcus sp. RNAcentral describes it as "bacterial SSU rRNA". It matches the Rfam family "Bacterial small subunit ribosomal RNA", at positions 358 to 790 of the family's 1533-position model. The record is from RNAcentral. Lineage: Bacteria; Bacillati; Bacillota; Bacilli; Lactobacillales; Carnobacteriaceae.